AUAGAACCUGAAACCUUGUGCUUACAAGCACUCAAAGCCCGUUAAUGGGUGAUGAGGUACCUUUUGUAGAAUGGUCCGGCGAGUUAUUGUCACUGGCAAGCUUAAGGUAUUCAGUACCGAAGGCGCAGCGAGAGCGAGUCUGAACAGGGCGUAUGAAGUCAGUGGCAAUAGACCCGAAACCGGGUGACCUAUCCAUGGGCAGGUUGAAGUGGGGGUAAAACCCCAUGGAGGACCGAACGCACGCUCGUUGCAAUGAUCGGCGAUGACCUGUGGAUAGCGGUGAAAUUCCAAUCGAACUCGGAGAUAGCUGGUUCUCCCCGAAAUAGCUUUAGGGCUAGCGUCAACUUAGAUUACCGGAGGUAAAGCACUGAAUGGGCUAGGGGCCGAUAAGGUUACUGAACCCUAUCAAACUAAGAAUGCCGGAUAAUUGAUGGUUGGCAGUCAGACAGUGUGAGAUAAGUUUCAUUGUCAAAAGGGAAACAGCCCAGACCCACAGCUAAGGUCCCAAAUACAUGCUAAGUGGAAAACGAUGUGGAGUUGCGAAAACAACCAGGAUGUUGGCUUAGAAGCAGCCACUCAUUAAAAGAGUGCGUAAUAGCUCACUGGUCGAGUGACUCUGCGCGGAAAAUAUAACGGGGCUAAGCAUGUAACCGAAGCUUGGGCUUGUCGUAAGACAGGGGUAGGGGAGCGUCGUGUACGGGGUGAAGUCGUAGCGAGAGCAGCGGUGGACUGUACACGAGUGAGAAUGCCGGAAUGAGUAGCGAGAAUUAUGUGGGAAUCAUAAUGGCCGAAAAUCUAAGGUUUCUUGGGGAAGGUUCGUCCGCCCAAGGUAAGCCGGGAGCUAAGGCGAGGCCGCAAGGCGUAGUCGAUGCACAUACGGUAGAAAUUCCGUAGCCGCCGAACUUUAAGCACGCUGACACUUUGGAAUAGGAGGACCCGGGCGUUGGUUGACCCGGGCGUAAGGGACCGAAAUAUAGUAGGGAAGUCUCCGAUGUCCAGAGGCGAGAAAAGGCGUGAGGUAUACUAAGGCGCCCGUACCGCAAACCGACACAGGUAGAUGAGGAGAGAAUCCUAAGGCCAACGGGAGAAGGGUUGUUAAGGAACUCGGCAAAUUGGCCCCGUAACUUCGGGAUAAGGGGCGCCUCCUACGGGAGGCCGCAGUGAAAAGGCCCAAGCGACUGUUUACCAAAAACACAGGUCUAUGCUAAAUCGAAAGAUGACGUAUAUGGGCUGACGCCUGCCCGGUGCUGGAAGGUUAAGAGGAGAGCUUAGCGCAAGCGAAGGUUUGAAUCGAAGCCCCAGUAAACGGCGGCCGUAACUAUAACGGUCCUAAGGUAGCGAAAUUCCUUGUCAGGUAAGUUCUGACCCGCACGAAUGGCGUAACGAUUUGGGCACUGUCUCAACAGCCCACCCGGCGAAAUUGUUGUACUGGUGAAGAAGCCAGUUACCCGCAACUAGACGGAAAGACCCCAUGGAGCUUUACUGUAGCUUAAUACUGGAAAUCGGUAAAUCAUGUACAGGAUAGGUGGGAGGCUUGGAAGCCUGGGCGUCAGCUCAGGUGGAGCCACCCUUGGGAUACCACCCUUGAUUUGCUGGUUUUCUAACCUGCGGCCUUGAAUCAGGUCGGGGGACACUGUUAGGUGGGCAGUUUGACUGGGGCGGUCGCCUCCAAAAAGGUAACGGAGGCGCUCAAAGGUUCGUUCAGCACGGACGGAAAUCGUGCA
RNAcentral lists this ribosomal RNA (1724 nucleotides) under Flavonifractor sp. An135. Its description in RNAcentral is "Bacterial large subunit ribosomal RNA". It matches the Rfam family "Bacterial large subunit ribosomal RNA", at positions 543 to 2344 of the family's 2925-position model. Lineage: Bacteria; Bacillati; Bacillota; Clostridia; Eubacteriales; Oscillospiraceae. The record is from Rfam by way of RNAcentral.